GUGACGAAGCGACGCCGCGUGCGGGAGGAAGGCCUUCGGGUUGUAAACCGCUGUCGGGAGUUAAGAAAUGCAAGGAUGUUAAUAGCGUUCUUGCUUGACUAAGGCUCCGGAGGAAGCCACGGCUAACUCUGUGCCAGCAGCCGCGGUAAUACAGAGGCGGCAAGCGUUGUUCGGAAUUAUUGGGCGUAAAGAGCACGUAGGCGGCCUUGCAAGUCAGUUGUGAAAGCCUUCCGCUUAACGGAAGAACGGCAUCUGAUACUACAGGACUUGAGUACGGGAGGGGAGAGUGGAACUUCUGGUGGAGCGGUGAAAUGCGUAGAUAUCAGAAGGAACGCCGGCGGCGAAAGCGACUCUCUGGUCCGAAACUGACGCUGAGUGUGCGAAAGCUAGGGGAGCAAACGGGAUUAGAUACCCCGGUAGUCCUAGCCGUAAACGAU
This 437-nucleotide ribosomal RNA is filed under the name uncultured anaerobic ammonium-oxidizing bacterium. RNAcentral's name for it is "bacterial SSU rRNA". It matches the Rfam family "Bacterial small subunit ribosomal RNA", at positions 383 to 810 of the family's 1533-position model. The record is from RNAcentral.